Molecule: ribosomal RNA, 372 nt
Filed under: uncultured organism
Description: partial 16S ribosomal RNA
Rfam family: Bacterial small subunit ribosomal RNA
Source: RNAcentral
GUAGGUGGCAAGCGUUGUCCGGAAUUAUUGGGCGUAAAGCGCGCGCAGGCGGUCCUUUAAGUCUGAUGUGAAAGCCCACGGCUCAACCGUGGAGGGUCAUUGGAAACUGGGGGACUUGAGUACAGAAGAGGAAAGCGGAAUUCCAAGUGUAGCGGUGAAAUGCGUAGAGAUUUGGAGGAACACCAGUGGCGAAGGCGGCUUUCUGGUCUGUAACUGACGCUGAGGCGCGAAAGCGUGGGGAGCAAACAGGAUUAGAUACCCUGGUAGUCCACGCGUAAACGAUGAGUGCUAAGUGUUAGGGGGUUUCCCGCCCCCUUAGUGCUGCAGCUAACGCAUUAAGCACUCCGCCUGGGGAGUACGGCCGCAAGGCUG